This 217-nucleotide ribosomal RNA is filed under the name Armillaria mellea. RNAcentral describes it as "partial 26S ribosomal RNA". It matches the Rfam family "Eukaryotic large subunit ribosomal RNA", at positions 3183 to 3401 of the family's 3401-position model. Lineage: Eukaryota; Fungi; Basidiomycota; Agaricomycetes; Agaricales; Physalacriaceae. The record is from RNAcentral.
UUGUGUUUAAUAGAGCUUUUGCUCGUGAACCAAAUAUGGUCGGCUGGGUUGUCUUUGCGGAAACGCUUAGGUGACUUGUCUACGAAUUGUAAUCAUAAUAUGCGCGACGGUGAAUCCUUUGCAGACGACUUGAAUGGGAACGGGGUACUGUAAGUGGUAGAGUAGCCUUGUUGCUACGAUCCACUGAGGUUAAGCCCUUGUUCUAAAGAUUUGUUCA